Molecule: ribosomal RNA, 254 nt
Filed under: uncultured bacterium
Lineage: Bacteria
Description: partial 16S ribosomal RNA
Rfam family: Bacterial small subunit ribosomal RNA
Source: RNAcentral
UACGUAGGGUGCGAGCGUUGUCCGGAAUUAUUGGGCGUAAAGAGCUCGUAGGCGGUGUGUCACGUCGAUCGUGAAAACUUGGGGCUUAACUCUGAGCUUGCGGUCGAUACGGGCAUCACUGGAGUUCGGCAGGGGAGACUGGAAUUCCUGGUGUAGCGGUGGAAUGCGCAGAUAUCAGGAGGAACACCGGUGGCGAAGGCGGGUCUCUGGGCAGUAACUGACGCUGAGGAGCGAAAGCGUGGGGAGCGAACAGG